Molecule: ribosomal RNA, 459 nt
Filed under: uncultured bacterium
Lineage: Bacteria
Description: partial 16S ribosomal RNA
Rfam family: Bacterial small subunit ribosomal RNA
Source: RNAcentral
CCUCGGGAGGCAGCAGUGAGGAAUAUUGGUCAAUGGACGCAAGUCUGAACCAGCCAAGUAGCGUGAAGGAUGACUGCCCUAUUGGUUGUAAACUUCUUUUAUAUGGGAAUAAAAUGUCCCCCGUGUGGGAUUUUGUAUGUACCAUAGGAAUAAGGAUCGGCUAACUCCGUGCCAGCAGCCGCGGUAAUACGGGGGAUCCGAGCGUUAUCCGGAUUUAUUUGGUUUAAAGGGAGCGUAGGUGGAUUGUUAAGUCAGGUGUGAAAGUUGGCGGGUCAACCGUAAAAUUGCAGUUGAAACUGGCAGUCUGGAGUACAGUAGAGGUGGGCGGAAUUCGUGGUGUAGCGGUGAAAUGCUUAGAUAUCACGAAGAACUCCGAUUGCGAAGGCAGUUCACUGGACUGCAACUGACACUGAGGCUCGAAAGUGUGGGUAUCAAACAGGAUUAGAUACCCUUGUAGUC